RNAcentral lists this ribosomal RNA (241 nucleotides) under uncultured Staphylococcus sp. Its description in RNAcentral is "partial 16S ribosomal RNA". It matches the Rfam family "Bacterial small subunit ribosomal RNA", at positions 99 to 334 of the family's 1533-position model. Lineage: Bacteria; Bacillati; Bacillota; Bacilli; Caryophanales; Staphylococcaceae. The record is from RNAcentral.
CGGACGGGUGAGUAACACGUGGAUAACCUACCUAUAAGACUAGGAUAACUUCGGGAAACCGGAGCUAAUACCGGAUAAUAUAUUGAACCGCAUGGUUCAAUAGUGAAAGACGGUUUUGCUGUCACUUAUAGAUGGAUCCGCGCCGCAUUAGCUAGUUGGUAAGGUAACGGCUUACCAAGGCGACGAUGCGUAGCCGACCUGAGAGGGUGAUCGGCCACACUGGAACUGAGACACGGUCCAG